UGGAUGCAGAGGAUUAGGAGGACCCUCCUGUUGAGUCACAAGGUUCAGAAUAGACCCCCUUGUUUUCUAAACUCCCUCUCUGAGGGGAGUCUAGGUGUGGCUAGGUCCAAUCUUAGAUGAGGGGG
Molecule: long non-coding RNA, 125 nt
Organism: Egretta garzetta (little egret)
Lineage: Eukaryota; Metazoa; Chordata; Aves; Pelecaniformes; Ardeidae
Exons: 3
Source: RefSeq, a predicted model, not a curated record